GCAAGUUCUCUAAAUUCUCUCACAGCUGUCUCUUUUCCUGAUCUCAACUAAGAGAAAAAUGAGACAUACAAUGCAGCUUUCAAAUAUGUCUCAAUUUGAUCUCAAUUAUAUCUCAGUGAGAAAUAUGUCUCGUACUGCUCACUAUUUGAGUUCUCAGAUUCUCUUACAGUUGUCUCUUUCUAGUGUUUCAGCAAAAAGAAAAAAUAGAGUAGUGUUAGCUCUCAAAUUAGUCUCAAUAUGAGACAUUAUUUAAUAUUAUAGCUCAAUCAUAUCUCAAUUUAUCUCAGCGCAAAAUUUAAGAAAAGAAGUAUAUCAAUUCAGGCAAAUAAUUUGAGAUGGUUUACAUAAUGUUCAACUUACAAAAGGUGUUUAUUUCUGACAAGCCAUACAAUUCAUUAAUUAGAAUUUUGAGUUCUAAAACGUAACCCAUCAAAACAUAAGCCAUGAUUUGCUCAAAAGACACCUUUGUGAACUUUCUAAAUGUUGACAAUUGUGCUGUUUUAAAAGAAUUCACAGCAAAGCUCUAUUGUAUAGAGCAGUAAAAGAGUGUGUAACACGUUACUCCAAGAAUCCUACCUCAUGUGUGAUGAAAGAGUCCGUUAUGACUAUUACUAUUAACGUUGCACGCGCGGGAGACGUGGUAGCGCCAAGACCCGCCCUACGAAGCAGCUCAUUGCAUGGCUCACGAUUGAUUAGACUUUUCACCUCGAGUGGUUAAGGUUAGGAUAGCGGAUUGGUCAGGGGAUAGGACCUGAACAAAUAAAAAUGUUGUUAUCUAGAAUACAGGGCUUUUAAAAAGAAUGUAAUAGUAUAAAGGAAAUAUAAUCUGUGGGUAUACUCCAGUCCAGCGGUGGCGGUAAUACAACAACAAGUUAUCAACCGCCAGAUAAAAAUAGAAGAAGAAGAAGAAGAAGAAGAUUGGAGGGCGGGUCUUGGCGCCAAUUCGUAAUUUCGUUGGGGUGAGAGAAGUGCGUCGGUAACUGCUGCUGCACCUGUUGGCUUUUGCCCCUGCCACGAAGAGAAAAACAAAGUGCUGGCAAAAAAGAGGCUACGGGUUCCCACUCAGAAAAUUGAAGGACCUGAGCUCCCCUCCCCCAAAUGAGCAAUCUGAAAUUCAUUUCCAUCGGUGAAUCCAUCACCUGACGGGGGACAUGCAACAGGCCGCAACACAGCUGGACCACCACCCUAUGGAUGUGCAACUCUACCGGACUGGGAACCAAUUGAGGAGGCCAAGCUAUGUGGACCGCGAUCUCUCUCUCUUUUGUGUGUGUGUGUGUGUGUGUGUGUGUCACACAAAUGCAGUUUUCAAUAUUGAGUAUUGUUUUUAGUUGUUUCUAAUUAAUAAAGAUAAUUAAUCUUUAAAUUGC
Gasterosteus aculeatus aculeatus (three-spined stickleback) is the source of this 1367-nucleotide long non-coding RNA. The record is from Ensembl. Lineage: Eukaryota; Metazoa; Chordata; Actinopteri; Perciformes; Gasterosteidae.